Molecule: ribosomal RNA, 497 nt
Filed under: uncultured bacterium
Lineage: Bacteria
Description: partial 16S ribosomal RNA
Rfam family: Bacterial small subunit ribosomal RNA
Source: RNAcentral
GAUGAACGCUGGCGGCGUGCCUAAUACAUGCAAGUCGAGCGAACAGAUGAGGAGCUUGCUCCUCUGACGUUAGCGGCGGACGGGUGAGUAACACGUGGAUAACCUACCUAUAAGACUGGGAUAACUUCGGGAAACCGGAGCUAAUACCGGAUAAUAUAUUGAACCGCAUGGUUCAAUAGUGAAAGACGGUUUUGCGGUCACUUAUAGAUGGAUCCGCGCCGCAUUAGCUAGUUGGUAAGGUAACGGCUUACCAAGGCAACGAUGCGUAGCCGACCUGAGGGGGUGAUCGGCCACACUGGAACUGAGACACGGUCCAGACUCCUACGGGAGGCAGCAGUAGGGAAUCUUCCGCAAUGGGCGAGAGCCUGACGGAGCACCGCCGCGUGAGUGAUGAAGGUCUUCUGAUCGUAAAACUCUGUUAUUAGGGAAAAACAAAUGUGUAAGUAACUAUGCACGUCUUGACGGUACCUAAUCAGAAAGCCACGGCUAACUACGUG